AACGAACGCUGGCGGCAGGCUUAACACAUGCAAGUCGAACGAGAUCUUCGGAUCUAGUGGCAGACGGGUGAGGAACACGUGGGAACAUCCCUUUCAGUUCGGAAUAACGUUGGGUAACUAACGCUAAUACCGGAUACGUCCUUCGGGAGAAAGAAUUAUCGCUGAAAGAUUGGCCCGCGUCUGAUUAGCUAGUUGGUGAGGUAACGGCUCACCAAGGCUACGAUCAGUAGCUGAUCUGAGAGGAUGAUCAGCCACAUUGGGGCUGAGACACGGCCCAAACUCCUACGGAAGGCAGCAGUGGGGAAUAUUGGACAAUGGGCGCAAGCCGAUCCAGCCAUGCCGCGUGAGUGAUGACGGCCUUCGGGUUGUAAAGCUCUUUUGUCCGGGAAGAUAAUGACUGUACCGGAAGAAUAAGCCCCGGCAAACUUCGUGCCAGCCGCCGCCGUAA
This 448-nucleotide ribosomal RNA is filed under the name uncultured bacterium. Its description in RNAcentral is "partial 16S ribosomal RNA". It matches the Rfam family "Bacterial small subunit ribosomal RNA", at positions 29 to 523 of the family's 1533-position model. The record is from RNAcentral.